Molecule: microRNA precursor, 67 nt
Filed under: Chlorocebus sabaeus (green monkey)
Lineage: Eukaryota; Metazoa; Chordata; Mammalia; Primates; Cercopithecidae
Description: microRNA 302d (ENSCSAG00000027166.1)
Rfam family: mir-302 microRNA precursor family
Source: RNAcentral
CUCUACUUUAACAUGGAGGCACUUGCUGUGGUAUGACAAAAAUAAGUGCUUCCAUGUUUGAGUGUGG